This is a non-coding RNA of Podarcis lilfordi (Lilford's wall lizard), 9708 nucleotides long. The record is from the annotation of a GenBank genome assembly. NCBI's taxonomy places the organism in Eukaryota, Metazoa, Chordata, Lepidosauria, Squamata, Lacertidae.
GUCAGACCAAGAUGUAACCAAGACCACAAAUGUAAUUGAAAUCCUAUGUGUCUACUCAAAUCCCACUGACCCUAUCCUAGGAUUAAGAAGUUUUGAACUCUGUGAACUAGUGAGUAGACAUCUGCAGCAUUGUAUUCACUAAUCAUUGGAAGUCCAGAUCAGCCUCACUAUGGCUUUUGAACCUUGGUAUACACUGCCUUUGUGUUUCCAGUAUUUAUUCUCCAGUUAUGAGGACUAGAAACAUGCAUUUUUACAUUGUGUUUUGGUCCUGGGAACAAAACUAUAUUCUAAGUCCUGUUUAUUGCUGGGAAUGAACAUCUUCACCCCCAUAAUAAAGCACAUAAUAUAGUGAGGCCCCCACAAAAAUAAAACUACCAAGACCCACUGCAGCGGCAGAAUCUAACCAAAGUCAAAAAUAUAUUCAAAACAUCCAUUAACCAUUUAGGGUUGCUGUUUGCACUUCUGUAAUGGAACAUAUGAAAAAGCAAGUCAGCAGCCCAUCUUCCUGGCAAAAACUCACAGAACAAAUUGAAUGCAACUCUGAGCCAGAUUCUAUAUUUGUUUACUUAUUUGCAUCUUCACAGCAAUUUGCAAAAAAGCUUCAAAUUUUCAAUUUAACUUGAGCCAAGUUUCCCCACCCAAAUGAGUUGCAUAAAUGUAAGCAAAAAGAGAAUUUGUCCAUAUAGCAGUCAGUCAGUGAUGCAUUUCAAACAUGCAGCACUUUAAGAAGCAGCUUCCAAGUUCACAUUCUUAUAAUUCAUGCAGGGAAGAAGCCAGAAAAAUAGUCUCUAUACUGAGACAUGUGUCUGGGAAAGCUCUUGGAAGAUUGCCUUCCAUUCAGAAAUCUCAGAUGGGGCCGAAACCACACGCAUGCAAUUGGCUGUUGUAGUUUUUUUUAAUGGACAAGUCCAUUAACAUUUCAUUUAUAUCCCACCUUUUCCCCAAGGACCUCAAUAGUUCUGCACUCCCUACAACACAGCAUGCCUCUGAGGUAGGUUAGAGAAUGACUGACCCAAAGUCACCUAGUGAGCUCCGUGGUUUACUAGGGAUUUGGCCCUGGGCACACCCCACCUAAUCUGAUGCUCUAAUCACUAUGCCACGCUGAUUCUUAAUAAACGUUAAAGAGCAUGGGUUGGGCAAAGGAUUCUGUGAAGGGAAAAGAGAUCCAGGGAUUAAAGGAUGUGUGAGAUGGGCAAGAAAACUGUAGUCUUCCACAGUCUUCCACGGCCACAGAAGGUACUGUAUUCCCCAAUAACUGGCUCAGUGGUAUCUCAGUUAUACAUUACUCAGUGUCUUUUAUAUCACUGGCUGCAUCCACAAAACAAUACAUACAGUAUCUUUAUAUUAUAUUAUAUAUUUGUAAAUGACUUUGAGGUUUUUUACAAUCAAGCAGUGCAUAAAUUUUAUGAAACAAUAAAAUAAUUUAUCCGACUAUAUAUCAUAAUAAAAUUGUAAGGCGUUAUCAUGCUGUUUUCAUUGGCUGUUUUCUAAGAAGUAAUUCCCACAGAGUUCAGAGAGAUUUACCCUCCUUUAAAUGGGUACAGAAUUUGAAUUUUCUAAUGAUUCCUAGCAUGGAAGUUGUCUUUUGCACAGCUGUCGUGCGCUGGUUCAACAUGAGCUAUCCACUACAAUCCCAAGGUCUCAUUCCUGGUCGCUCACUACCUGUUGAGUGCCCAGUUCAGGGUAUAUGUAAAAUUAAGAAAGAUUUUGCCCUGACAUGCAUCAUUUUACACUUGUUCACAAUGAAUUCACUUUGCCAUGUUACCAACCAUUCACUCAACACGGAGAUGUCUUUUUAGGACUCUUCACAUUUUGUUUUAAUGACCCUGAACAAAUUAUUAUUGGCAGUUCACAAUAUAAAAAUACAGGAUAAAAGCACAAAUUUAGUAUCGCCACAAACUUGGCCACCUCACUGCUCACCUCUAACACUAGAUGGUUCAUGAACAAGUUAAAAAGCACAAGUCCCACUACUAAUCCUUGGAGAACACAGGACUCUCCAUUCAGAGAACUGUCCAUUUAUCCCUACACUCUGCUUCCUGUUACUUAACCAAUUCCUGAUUCACAAGAGGAUUUCUCUUAUUCUGUGAUGGCUAACUUUAUUCAGGAGUCUUUUGUGAGAUACCUUGCAACACAAUCACCUCUGUUGACACACUCAAAAAACUCUAGUUACAGGUAGGUAGCCGAGUUGGUCUGCCGUAAUCGAAACAAAAUAAAAUUUAAAAAUUCCUUCCAGUAGCACCUUAGAGACCAACUAAGUUAGUUACAGUAUUGGUAUGAGCUUUCAUGUGCAUGCACACUUCUUCAGUCUCUAAGGUGCUACUGGAAGAAAUUUAUUUAUUUAUUUAUUUAUUUAGCUUCAAAAAACUCUAAAAGGUUAGUGAGACAGGAUAGGAUUCCCUUGCAGAAGCCAUGGUAGCUCUGCUUCAGCAAGGCUUGUCCUUCUAAAUGCUUUGUUAUUUUAUCUUUAACAAUACUUUCCAGCACUUUUACGUGGAUGGAUGUUAAGCUAUCUGUUUAUGUGCUAGUUACUUGAGAAAAUCUGGAAUGUGUAUGUAUAUAGUACAAAUAUAAUCUUAUAAAUAUAAUAAUGCAUGCAAUAAUGCAUGAACUGUUUGCAUUUUUAGCAGAACUGGGGUGGGUGGGAGUGAGUUACUUCUCAGUAAGAUUGAAAUGAGAAUUGGGGGGAGGGGGAAUCCCUAGUAAAGGGUUGUGUGGAUACAAGUGAUGGCAUGCCUGAAGAGUUAUAAAGAAAGGAGAGCGUUAUAUAUAAUUGCUCACUUUUUUGGCUUGCAAAAAGUAGUACACUUCAAAGGCUCAAAGCAAAGGGCUUCCUAUGAAUCUUAUUAAUUAAUUCAAAUCCUGUCUUAUUUUCUAAACUUCAUCCCAACUGAUGGCUCACACAUUGCCCCAUGCUAAGAACAAAAACGUCACUUGCAGGCAUGCCUUCCACAUACACAAAUUAAUAUUUAAUAAAAUUAAUGUGCCUGCUCAACUAUUGCGGUUUCUGGAAGCCUCUCUUUUGCUUUUGCAAACUUGCAGGAGGCAACCAAUAAUAGAUCUAUCCUUGGAUUCUUACUGGUUGCCUAUGAUGAAUUUCAAUUUGAGAAGCUGAUGAGAAGGUUUUCUGUGAAUAUGUGCAACAGUGCAUCCAGGGACCGUUUUGUUGGCAGAAAUGUAAUAAUGUGCAACAAAAGACACAGGAUGACAAAACGUUAUCAGUUUAGAUGCCUUGUACGGUAGGUGAAAAGUUCUCGCACACUUGAGAGGUUUCCAUUUCCCCCCCACCCCCAAAAUAAAUUUCAUCUUUUAGUCCUAGACGGCUAUUGGAAACCUAAAUGUACUGUGCUGUAAUAUAAAAUAAAAAGAGAUUGGCAAAAAAGAUUAUAUUUAAUCUUUAUGUUUGCUUCCCCCAAUCCAUUGCUAAAACAUUUGGGAAAGUUAAACUAAAAUUAACUUUUGCAAAUUUUAGUGAAAGAAAAACCAUUCACAACAACGCGAGAAGCCAAAAGCAACUGAAAAUGUUUCCAAGUGUGCAGAAUCUUCAGCUUCAAGUCAAACACAGUAAGUGCCCUGGCAAGAUAUGUAUAUUAUCUUUGUAUCCAUCUAGAACUGUUUCAGGAAGAAACUGCAGAAAAAAUUAUUUCCAAGGCUCUCCUGAGACUGACAGCCAAUAACAACAUUUAUGCACUUGUGGUCCACUUCCUUUGCAUGAUGGCACCACCCAAGAAUUCACAUGUAGUAUCAUUUGUUUGAAAGUGCUUCUAACAUUUAAAAAAAGCAACAACCCUAUCUUGCAUUCAUCACUCACUCUCUCUCUCACACACAAACACAUUUUUGCAGGUGCAACUUUUGUAUAUAUUAACAGAAUAAUCUAAUAAAUUGGUUAAGAUACUUGCAUAUGUAAUCACAUCUAAUGAAAUGUGUCAUUCUUUUAUCCAUUUAUAUUUAACUAUUCACUAUAUAGCUCCCCGCCCCCCAAAUGGGGUGUUAGGGGAAGGUUAGUACAGUGGUACCUCAGGUUAAGAACUUAAUUUGUUCCAGAGGUCCGUUCUUAACCUGAAACUGUUCUUAACCUGCGGUACCACUUUAGCUAAUGGGGCUUCCCGCUGCCACAGCGCAAUUUCUGUUCUCACCCUGAAGCAAAGUUCUUAACCCGAGGUACUAUUUCUGGGUUAGCGGAGUCUGUAACCUGAAGCAUCUGUAACCUGAAGCGUCUGUAACUCGAGGUACCACUGUACCUCUGGUGAGAGACUUGUUGUGCUGCUUCUGGGGUAGUUUGUCCACCUUGAUCCCCAUCCUGCACUUGGUUCUCACCUGUGGCUCCUAGAAGCUGUCAGCAUGUGACAGCAUCCACACCCCAGGAAACAGCUUUGACUGGAAGGCUAAACCAGGUGAGGGAACCGAUAGGUCUCAAACCCUCAGUGAGUUAGGGACUUCCUCUGCAUGUGAAGAUAGGCCCUGACAGGUUGAGCAGAUGAGACCCAUAGUGGGUCCAAUGGUCAAGAAGGCAGUUUCUGAACAUGCUGUAGAGGGAAGAUGGGGCUCAUCAAACUGGGAAGGUAGCCCAUCUAGGAAAAGAAAAACUCUAAUCCUAAACAUCAGAUGCCUUGCGGCUAUACUCAUUCAUGAGAAAGGCUUCAGGAGUAAAACCCAAAGAAAAAUUCAUACCUUGCAGGACGUCUUUGAGAGGAGUAAACCCCACACAAAUCCAGAGUGGGGUCCCUAAGACAGCUGGAUGGCACCUUGUAUGUCUCCUUCCAGCAAUUCCUGAAGCCAAGCUUGUGCCAAACACAUUGCUCUGCUUUCUUUGGACCACAUCAGCAAGGCCGGGGGGUCUUGUCAUCUGGGCAGCCCACCAGGACCUCCACACACUCCCCAAAGAGGUGUGUGGAGUACUCCCCAGUACUACUAACACAGAAAAAUAAAAUGCAGAAGGCAGCAGUUCCAAGUUACUGGUCUCUAUUCCACAGCAGGUGCUGUUAUUUGGCUUCACCCCUGGAGGUGCACUCCAUUGUCGAUGCCGAGUUUGAUGACCCCUGAUAUAGCCCCUCCACAAAAGUCUCUGCCCACUGGCUUACAGUUUAAAAAACGCAGUGCAAAGAAAAGAGAGAAAGGGAGAAGGAAAAUACAAAAUUGGGUGCCAAUUGUUAAAGUUAAACCAUAAUUCUCUGUUCAAGAGCAAGAUUUCUAGAAGUUGUUCAAUUUUGCCAAUCCCCAAAGAUUGAGGUCUUGGCUGGGGAGGGUGGGGUAUAAAUAAAUUAUUAUUAUUAUUAUUAUUAUUAUUAUUAUUAUUAUUAAAGAUUAAUCCAAAUUUGGGGGCGCAUUUCCACUCCAAUGGCAUACUUCAGCCCAAUGGCAUUUUAUAAUGGCAAUAUAGCAACUUGUUUCUGUGCCUAAAAGAAACACAUGCUAAUUCCCAAAUUGCAUUUCUUUUCUAGAAUCAAAGACUACGGGGAUCAAACUUGGAACCUUGGCAAUAUCAGCACUAUGUUCUAACCGACUAAGCUAUUCAGGCUGAGGCUGCUGAGUUAUUGUGUCUUUUUAAAAAAAUAUUUUUUAUUAAAGAUUUUCUUGAUUUACUAGUCACAAGAGCAGUUCGCUCGAUUUUCCUGUCCUCACUAGACAAAACUACCAAAUGUGGUGGCUGUUGUGCGUAUGCUGUUUUUUUUACCCUUGAAUCAGAGGUGUCAGUUCUGGAAAUCUGCAAUAUUUGUCACCAUGAAUACUAUUUAACUGCAGCAGUACCCAAAGGAACUCUGUAUAGCCGCCUGUGAAUACGACUGGAGGGACUUAAUUAAUCUUCCUGUCACUUCCAUGAUGCUUUUCAUUAGUUUAGCUGCUAUCUGAUCAACUGGCCCUUUCUCUAUUGGAAAUGGCUUUCCAGAACCUGUUUCUGCGGCAUUUUCAAGAGGUAAACAAAGACUCACCUUUGACGGGAAGAGUCUUUGCAAGUCUUAGCCGUGCAGACUUUAUCAGUUCAAUUAUAGUUCUUGCAGCAGUUAUAUCUGCAACAAUGCAGGGUUUUCAACAGAUUUGAGAACUAGGAAAAUAACUAAUAUUGAAAGAUGUGGAGAAUUUUUUAAAAAGUCAAACUAAUAUCAUUUCCCCCAUCUUAAUUUCAGAUUAAAUAUUUUGCCACAUAAAGUAUCUUCCCCUUAAAAACACUACCAAAAUUCUCCUUUUCACUAAUUAUGCCUACUAUAUCUUCCACUCCAAAUUCAGUCAAUAUUCAUGGGAAAUAAUAUUCUUUAGGAAUGGGUAUUGAUCAAAAAUGUGUAUCAGAUGGUGAUUUUACUUAAUGUGCUGGUAACACUGGUAAUUUGCUAAUAUGGCUGUCUCAUGGUUCAAUGUGAAUCCAAAUGUAUUUUUACCUGUUUCACACAAGCAUGCAGCAAUCUGUCAACACUGCUCAUGCAGAAUAUGACCUUCAUCACUGCCUGUAGCAUCUAAGGGCUCCACAAUCAUUAAUGGAUGUUUAGUUUCCCAAUGCUCCUGUAAGGUAGAGAAGCAUUAUCUCUGUGGUGCAGAUGACUGACUGAUGCACAAAGCAGAUUAAAAACAGUGGCAGGCAACACCAUCGUUUAACUCUCUCAAGCCCUUCAAAACAACUCCACACAGAGGAAUGCUGUAAGGCAGCACAAUAAACCCCAGGGAUAGAGAAUUCUCACAUGUGAAGCGUCACUUGCCUUUGAGUACUCUCGCAUCACACACGGUGCAGACCCAAUGGCAGAACCAAUCGGAUGCUCCUAGCAGUGCACCUGCACAUUCCUGCCCUGGUUGUUACCCUACCUCACCCCAACACCAUCCCAGUAAGCAACAGUGAUAUCACUGUGGGAUGCAGCGUUCCCCACUGCCCACUCUUCCAGGCUACAGUCCUGGGAAUAAUUUGCUUGGAAUAAGUCCCAGGAAGCUUCCAAUAAAAUACACACAGGAUUUCGCUUUUUAUUUUCUCAGCCUUCAAUCAUGGGUUAAAAAACCCCCAACAACUUCCAGGUGUUAACCUUGGACAGAAAAAGGUCAUUUCCAAAUAGAAUAUCAUAUUAUAACCAGCACGCUUGCCUUGAAAAGAAAUAAAGGCAAAGAACCAAAUUCUGCUAAACUUACUAUCAUUUACUCUAGACGAGAGUGAGAUUUUAAAAAAUAUUAUUUUGUAAACACCUAGGAUUAACUGGUUUUCAAAAAAAAAAAAAAAAAGAUUGUGGGUUAUAUGUCUUGUAUUAUGCUACUAGCUAUCAAAACUAUUCCCAAUUCACUUAUAAAGAAUUAACUUGCGAAGGAGAGCUUUUUCUGCGCUCCCACCUUUUCAUCUGACUGACAGAGCCUUUUGGCCUCUAAUUUUGACAGUUAAUUUGCAUAGCCAAAUACUGGUCUAUGUCUGGGCACCACUGUCUACUUAUAUUCUUUCCUGCAAUUCUCUUUUGAUGUUCCAUGACUCCAAAUUUAAUUAUGACUCCUGAAAAUACUCGGCCACUAUUUUUGUCUAUUCAGUAACUCUAUCCUCUUUGCCUUGAACAGAUUAAAAAGUAGGACUUAAACGUGGUCUACCUAACCCUCACUCCCUGCGAUAAAUUAGCUUCACAAUUUAUCAGUUAAAUACUAUGCUUCUUGACUGCAUGAUGAGCAACAUUUUUAAUCACUAGAAUGAGAAGCCUGGUUUUUCAGAAUGUAUCAGAAGCUCAUUCUCUUUCCCCUCUCCAUCUCUCUCUCUCUCACUGUCUGCGAAGGAUGGUUGGUUGCUGUUUCUUUAAUGGGAGCUAAUGAAGAGGAAAUAGAUGGGAAUCUGUGUGUGCAUUCUUGAAAGAGACACACUUCAGAACACGAGGAAAGGGACCUGAAAGGGACCAGGUAAAGAGCAGAGGGUAGUUACCCAGGGUGCAUAUCAGAUUUGGAUGAAUCCAAAGUCAAAGCAGGGUGCCUCAGAAGGCUUGUCAUGGGUGAAGCAGGAUCUCUAUGAAGCAGCAUGAGUUGAAGCAGGGAUCCCUCAAGCACUUUUUGGUGCCUCACAUAUCCAGGUUUCAAACAAAUGCUACAGGCAAGUUUCUGCUAAAAGCAAAAUUAAAUGUCUUUAAGGUUACCAUAAGGAAGAAAUACACUAUUGCUUGCAAGAAGCAGCAGUCAUUUCUGCAGUUACUGAUUGUGACUGUUCUACUACUUCUUAUUACUCACUGUCUCCCUGUGUUGUCUUCACUGACACAUCAGUAUGAUCAGAGGGAAUUGUUUUACCCAGGUUGGAUCUAGACACAUCAAAGAAGCGUUUCAGUUAAACGCAUUGUAAACUUUAUACGAGAAAUCGGGUUAGCAAAAACGGAACUCUUCAGCGCCAUCUGGUGUCACAGUGUUAUAAUAAUAUACAACGCAUAUAAUGCACUUUUUCUUUGCCAAUGUAACUGAGUCCCCAGAAUGUGAAUUUCUUUUAGUUCCUCCCUGCCCCCCAUAAGCUUUUAUAGGUGCCUAGCACAAAAGUACCUGAAUAUAUUUGUCUGUGAUUUGACAUUUUUGUUUUGUUUCUUUACCAAGGAACAUUGUUCUCAUGUUUGCAAUUCGCCAACAAAAAGAAUGGGGGAGAUUAAGUCCCUUCUUUUUUACCUGUCCCAAAUCUGUAAAGGUUGACCUUGCAAGAAAACCACUUCUAACAUUUGACACAAUUUAUUCCCUCAGAAAUGGUGGCUUUGCCUGCAGAUUUCAUCUAGGUCUAUCCCAAAAUAAACAUAAGUUAUAUAUGUUUCCUUAGAAAACGUUUAAUGAUACCCAGGAUAGCAAAACCUGGACCUAUUCACCUGUAUUUUUGCAGGUCUUAUUCAUUCUGGAAGGGGUACUAUGCCGACAAAUUUUAUCCACUUACGUAAUACAAUAAAAAAUGUUAUAGCCAUUUCCCCUCAAUAAUUUUCCAGUAAUGGAGUGGGGAUAAUGCAGACACAGAAGGACCCCUGAGACAAAAUAGCCAGGCUGCUCUUCAAACACCAAUUCAGGGACUGAACUGAAUCUUCUCUUUGGUGCACACAUCAAGUAUGCAUGCGCAAGUGUGCAUGAAGAAGCACCAGUUUCACAGUUUGGAACAGACAGAGGCAUAGAGAGAGAGAAAGUGCUGAGUUGCUAAACAUACAUUGUGUGUGCAGGCCCUCUUUGGAGGGAUAUUACAUUUGUUGUGAACCGCCCUGAGAUCUACGGGUAUAGGGUGUUAUACAAAUUUAAUAAAUUGUUGUUGUUGUAUGUGGUUAUGGAUCUUCUCCAUUACAUAAGUGCCUCUUAUGCCUCCACUUUUACUUUACUUAUGCAAUUGUUUUAAAAAAUGCAUUUACAUUAUGUUACAAAAUAUUACAAAAUUACCAUUUAUGUCUAGUGCUCUUGCAGCCAAAGGGGGGAUAGGUAGCACUGGCCCUAAACCUAUCACCACUUUGGAAACUGGAGAGAAUGCAACAGACAGACAGAUGAUAGCUUGAUAGAGGUCUUAGUGAUGUUGCUACAAAAAAAAUUCAAAGGAACAGAUGGGGAGAGACCAGGAACUCAGGAACUCACCAAGACAGUAGGUAAGUUACUCUAUUUGAUUUUUUUGUUACCGAAGUACGCUACAGGAUCCUGCCCUUGCUGGAGACCCACAGAGAUGAAAUAGAUUGCUUGCCUCUUCUUCCCUUUGGCAAAUGACUGUACUGUUGAAAUGGCGACGAGAUCGCACUGGCCUAUUUAUUCUGAAUGUUUGUAGGUGAUGCC